GCCCGCACUCAGGCACAAGCUACAGCUCGGGAUCCGUCCUCCAGUCCACUGGCUCCUACGCGAGGCACCGUUAAGCAGAGGCGAUAUCACACCCCGGAGCACGGCUGAGGCCAGCCGCCCUCACAGCCGUGAAUGGCAGCGUCUGGCGGUGCGGAAACUGGUUUCUGGAGUGACUUGCAGUGUGUUGCGCUCAGCUGGACGGUGACUAUGGUGGCAGCCCUGUCUCGAGGUGCACGGUGUCCUGACUGAAACAACUCCACGUGGUUCCUGGUGUGCGAUAACUCACGAAAGGCUCAGGUACCAGGGAUUGAACUCAGGUCCUUGUGCUUGUGAGGCAGGCAGCAGAACCACUGAGCUAAAUCCCCAGUCCUUCUUUGUCUCUCUUAAUAGUCUUGGCUUGAAAUCCACUUUGUCUGCAAAUAAGAUAGCAACUCCUGCUUUUUUCCAGUUUCCUGUUUCAUGGAAUAUUGUUUUCCAUCCCUUGACUUUCAGUCU
This 495-nucleotide long non-coding RNA is filed under the name Heterocephalus glaber (naked mole-rat). RNAcentral describes it as "lncRNA (ENSHGLG00000050227.1)". Lineage: Eukaryota; Metazoa; Chordata; Mammalia; Rodentia; Bathyergidae. The record is from RNAcentral.